This 64-nucleotide transfer RNA is filed under the name Pupa strigosa. RNAcentral describes it as "tRNA-His". The record is from RNAcentral. Lineage: Eukaryota; Metazoa; Mollusca; Gastropoda; Acteonidae.
CCUAGGUUAGUUUAAUGAAAACCUGAAUUUGUGGUGUUCAAAAUGGUACAAUUACCGCCUGGGU